UACGUAGGGGGCAAGCGUUGUCCGGAUUUAUUGGGCGUAAAGAGCGUGUAGGCGGCCAGGUAGGUCAGCUGUGAAAACUCGAGGCUCAACCUCGAGACGUCGGUUGAAACCAUCUGGCUAGAGUCCGGAGGAGGAGAGUGGAAUUCCCGGUGUAGCGGUGAAAUGCGCAGAUAUCGGGAAGAACACCCGUGGCGAAGGCGGCUCUCUGGGACGGUACUGACGCUGAGACGCGAAAGCGUGGGGAGCGAACAGG
RNAcentral lists this ribosomal RNA (253 nucleotides) under uncultured bacterium. RNAcentral describes it as "partial 16S ribosomal RNA". It matches the Rfam family "Bacterial small subunit ribosomal RNA", at positions 524 to 776 of the family's 1533-position model. The record is from RNAcentral.